RNAcentral lists this long non-coding RNA (201 nucleotides) under Coccomyxa subellipsoidea. RNAcentral's name for it is "long non-coding RNA (CSUB_LNC000097)". The record is from RNAcentral. Lineage: Eukaryota; Viridiplantae; Chlorophyta; Trebouxiophyceae; Coccomyxaceae.
AGAACAUGGUGGACGCCAGGAACGCCAACUAUGCCACGAUAGUGCGCCACCUGUCGUUUGCCAAGCGGGGGGCGCCCAACGUGGACCUGGACGCAGAGGGCCAGGGUUCUGGCAAAUCCGACAAGCAGCACACCGCCGCCGACACCUACGACAACGGCUCCGACUCCGACACCGAGGCGCCUGAGCCCCGGCUGCUGCGGG